ACGAUGGAACUCACCUGCAAAAUGCCACCUUUGCACAAUGCCUUUCCGCUCUGUGCAGAAGAGUAUUUAUUUUUGGCUUUAAUUUAUCAUGGAGUUUUGAUGGGAUUUUGUUUGUGUUUUGUUGGUUUGGGUCCGGUCCUUUGGGUUUUUGUUAUUGUUGUUAUGUUGUUUUUAAGCUUUUUUUUUUACUUAUCCUUCCUACCAUGAAAAAAGAAAAAGAAAAAAAAAAAGCCAAAAGUUCCAAGCUGCAAAAUUUACUUUGCUUUCUAGGUUUUGUGUUGAUUUUAAAAAUACCGAUAAGAGCAGAAGGGCUAUGUGUGACCUGACGUUAUUCCUAGUAGACACUGUCCAUCUACUGAGAUUGCCAGUGAUGAAGGUAAGAUCCUAGUAUAUGCGCUAGCUCCCAUUCUGCACUAAAUACUGGAGCACUCCAAAUGUAAAGGGGGCUGGAGAUGGUUAGUAAGAGUGCAUGCUACACGCAGAGGACCCGAAUUCAGUUCCCAGCACUUAUAUCUGGCAGCUCACAACUGUGUGUAACAGUGGUUCUCAACCGUCCUGAUGCUGCAACCCUUUAAUACAGUUCCUCAUGUUGUGGUGACCCCCGAACCAUAAAAUUAUUUUUGUUGCUACUUCAUAACUGUAAUUUUGCUACUGUUAUAAAUCAUGAGGUGAACAUCUGAUUGCAGGAUAUCUGAUGUUCGAGCUAUGUGAGAGGGUCCUUCCAUCACACACACAACACACACACAAAGAGGUCACAACCCACAGGUUGAAAACUACUGAGCUGGCUUAUCCAGGGCUCUUUUAUCCUCUGUAGGUACCUGUAUUCCUGUAUAUUCACAUACAUACAAACAAACAUAUACCCAUCAAAUAUAAGUAAUUAAAAAUGAAAUUUCUUUUAAAUGUAAAAGAGAAACAGAAUAAGAAGACAUCUCACUCAAUAGGACAAUUAGGAAGGAAUAUUAAAUCUAUGAAAGCAGGACUCAGAUGCUACGAUCUGCAUUCACUGGUGGGUGUUUACAUCUGUCUAGCUGAACUUUCUACCCCACUUCCCUCUUUUGUCCUGUAAUAUUUUCAUAGUGUCUAUCACAUGUACCUGUACCUAGGUCUCUGCUCAGUACCUCUUAUAAAAACAGUGUAAGGCUCAUUGCUUGUCGCCUUGAGAAUUCCAGUGAAGGCAAGUGCAGCUGUGUAGGAGUUGCGCUGACUGUCUCCACCUGCAGCUUUCUUUCCUGUCUCCUCUUUGCAACCAAGCAGCGGUGACCUUUCUCCAGCAGUGACUUCUGUUUUUCACUUUACACCGGACGUUCUGACCUGGUGACUCUGAGGUGACCCUUAGUAACAGCAAAGGAAUGAUUUUCAUGUUAGCAGCUUGUGUGAAGGAACUCCAAGCC
Molecule: long non-coding RNA, 1391 nt
Filed under: Rattus norvegicus (Norway rat)
Lineage: Eukaryota; Metazoa; Chordata; Mammalia; Rodentia; Muridae
Description: long non-coding RNA NONRATT008870
Source: RNAcentral